AUACCUUUCUCGGCCUUUUGGCUAAGAUCAAGUGUAGUAUCUGUUCUUAUCAGUUUAAUAUCUGAUAUGUGGUCCAAUGGAUCACACGAUAUUAAAUUUAUUUUUUGAGGGGAAGAGUCCAUUACAAUAGCUUGCUAUUGAGUCUCUUGAGUGUUGCCAUUGCUUUGCACUAUUGCAUUGGCUGGCGCACCCCAC
Molecule: non-coding RNA, 195 nt
Organism: Cicer arietinum (chickpea)
Lineage: Eukaryota; Viridiplantae; Streptophyta; Magnoliopsida; Fabales; Fabaceae
Source: Rfam